Molecule: long non-coding RNA, 867 nt
Organism: Daphnia carinata
Lineage: Eukaryota; Metazoa; Arthropoda; Branchiopoda; Diplostraca; Daphniidae
Exons: 2
Source: RefSeq, a predicted model, not a curated record
UUUGCGCACCAAGGUAAACAAAACGAUGCAUAACAGCCAAAGGAAAGCUCCUGGACGUGCGACGUGGUUUAGCUCAGCUAUGUCGUAUAAGAGAAUUCCUUGUAACCAAAGCCAAAAUGUGUUGCAUCGCACUAGUAAAGAAAGCAAUCGAGUUAGACAUUUCCCAAGAACGCUAGGAAAACUAGACGACCCUUGGCAGUAUGCGAUGGUUGAGGAUGUUUACUGAAUUAGACAAAGAUUUGUAAAUGGUAGCAUAAAGCGAAAGAGCGAACUCGUUCGGUUGCGUCCGUAUUGACUGACAGGCGUCGUACCGUACCUCUAAACCCGUUAGAAGCUGGAGUUACGCAGGCAUUGCUGAUGGCCGUAUGCUAAUCUUUUUCGAAUGGAUGAGCGGACGCGUGCCACAGACCACGUACGCACAAGUUCAAAAGAGCCAGCAGGAUAAAAAACUUGGGCAAACCUCGCGCUCAGGUGACCUCGAGCUUCGAAGAUGAAGAAAUUGAAGUGCUUACUUUCGAUGGUGACCGAUGAGGCGGCGGCCCAUCAUCAGAAGCUAACAGUCGUAAUAAUAACAAGGGUGCGGUCUUGUUUGACUGAAACAUUCAAAUGCCCGUGGCCUACAAAAAAAAAAUGGUUAUUACUGAACACGAACAAGCUUUCUUUGGAAGAUUCUGCAACAGAAAAAAAAAACCAGUUGUUAUAGGCUACGCGUUCGAUCCAGCUAUUUCCACUUUUGUUACCAAAGAUUUCGUUGAAAGUAUGCCAUCGCUGUAUGCACACACAUCCCCUAUAUGGAAGUUCAUGUAUGUAUCUCGUACAAAAAGAAAGGGUUAAAGAAAAAAAAACUUUCGAAUGGCAACGAGUCCC